AGGGUUGUGGCUCAGUGGUAGAGCACUUGCCUAGCAUGUGUGAGGCCCUGGGUUCGAUCCUCAGCACCACAU
Molecule: transfer RNA, 72 nt
Filed under: Ictidomys tridecemlineatus (thirteen-lined ground squirrel)
Lineage: Eukaryota; Metazoa; Chordata; Mammalia; Rodentia; Sciuridae
Description: Spermophilus tridecemlineatus (thirteen-lined ground squirrel) tRNA
Rfam family: tRNA
About the family: Transfer RNA (tRNA) molecules are approximately 80 nucleotides in length. Their secondary structure includes four short double-helical elements and three loops (D, anti-codon, and T loops).
Source: Rfam by way of RNAcentral